Molecule: ribosomal RNA, 854 nt
Filed under: Clostridioides difficile
Lineage: Bacteria; Bacillati; Bacillota; Clostridia; Peptostreptococcales; Peptostreptococcaceae
Description: partial 23S ribosomal RNA
Rfam family: Bacterial large subunit ribosomal RNA
Source: RNAcentral
CCCCAGUAAACGGCGGCCGUAACUAUAACGGUCCUAAGGUAGCGAAAUUCCUUGUCGGGUAAGUUCCGACCCGCACGAAAGGCGUAACGAUUUGGGCACUGUCUCAACAACAGACUCGGUGAAAUUGUAAUUCCGGUGAAGAUGCCGGAUACCUGCGACAGGACGGAAAGACCCCAUGGAGCUUUACUGUAGCUUGACAUUGGGUCUUGGUACUACAUGUACAGGAUAGGUGGGAGGCUUUGAAACCAGGACGCCAGUUUUGGCGGAGCCAUCCUUGGGAUACCACCCUUGUAGUACUGGGACUCUAACCAUAGGCCAUGAAUCUGGUCUUGGGACACUGUCAGGUGGGCAGUUUGACUGGGGCGGUCGCCUCCCAAAAGGUAACGGAGGCGCUCAAAGGUUCUCUCAGUACGGUCGGAAAUCGUACGUAGAGUGUAAAGGCAAAAGAGAGCUUGAUUGCAAGACAUACAGGUCGAGCAAGGAUGAAAAUCGGACUUAGUGAUCCGGUGGUUCUGCGUGGAAGGGCCAUCGCUCAACGGAUAAAAGCUACCCUGGGGAUAACAGGCUUAUCUCCCCCAAGAGUCCACAUCGACGGGGAGGUUUGGCACCUCGAUGUCGGCUCAUCACAUCCUGGGGCUGUAGUAGGUCCCAAGGGUUGGGCUGUUCGCCCAUUAAAGUGGUACGCGAGCUGGGUUCAGAACGUCGUGAGACAGUUCGGUCCCUAUCCGUCGCAGGCGUAGGAAAUUUGAGAAGACCUGUCCUUAGUACGAGAGGACCGGGAUGGACGUACCUCUGGUGUACCAGUUGUCCUGCCAAGGGCAUGGCUGGGUAGCUAUGUACGGAAUGGAUAAGCG